RNAcentral lists this ribosomal RNA (497 nucleotides) under uncultured bacterium. RNAcentral's name for it is "partial 16S ribosomal RNA". It matches the Rfam family "Bacterial small subunit ribosomal RNA", at positions 28 to 507 of the family's 1533-position model. The record is from RNAcentral.
GAUGAACGCUGGCGGCGUGCCUAAUACAUGCAAGUCGAGCGAACGGACGAGAAGCUUGCUUUUCUGAUGUUAGCGGCGGACGGGUGAGUAACACGUGGAUAACCUACCUAUAAGACUGGGAUAACUUCGGGAAACCGGAGCUAAUACCGGAUAAUAUUUUUAACCGCAUGGUUCAAAAGUGAAAGACGGUCUUGCUGUCACUUAUAGAUGGAUCCGCGCUGCAUUAGCUAGUUGGUAAGGUAACGGCUUACCAAGGCAACGAUGCAUAGCCGACCUGAGAGGGUGAUCGGCCACAUUGGAACUGAGACACGGUCCAGACUCCUACGGGAGGCAGCAGUAGGGAAUCUUCCGCAAUGGGCGAAAGCCUGACGGAGCAACGCCGCGUGAGUGAUGAAGGUCUUCGGAUCGUAAAACUCUGUUAUUAGGGAAGAACAUAUGUGUAAGUAACUGUGCACAUCUUGACGGUACCUAAUCAGAAAGCCACGGCUAACUACGUG